Rosa rugosa (rugosa rose) is the source of this 5324-nucleotide long non-coding RNA. RefSeq lists it as uncharacterized. Lineage: Eukaryota; Viridiplantae; Streptophyta; Magnoliopsida; Rosales; Rosaceae. The record is from RefSeq and is a predicted model, not a curated record. The transcript is spliced from 2 exons.
UUGAAUCAACUAGAUGGGAGAGAAGAUCAGAAGAGAAGGAUCGAAAUUGAUGAAGAAAGGAUUUGAGAAGAGAAAGGCUGAAGAGUUGAGAGAGAAAGACUUGAGCUCGGAAGAAAAUUUCUUUUCUUUUGGAGUGAACAGUUUUUCUCCAGAAUGCACCUAUUUAUAGAACAAGGUGAGCAGAUCUCCACCGUUGGAUGAACGAUCUCAGAAUUUGAAUCCACGCGUUGGAUUAAAGUCGCCCCGAAACCCGGAAAAGCUGUUGACGCGUGUUGAGCGUGUAAGGGGACAGGCCGAACCUCGAGACGCUGUGGCAGACAGCUUUAGCCGAAAGUGAUUUGCUUUCCGUAAAUCACGGAAGAGACGUGUCGUGGCACGUGGAGUGUACCGACAGUUUGUUGUUAUUCUAUCGCUUAUGAUAGAAUAAAUAAAAGAAGUUGCAUGGAUAGUAACGAGAGCAGCUGGUGCUCUAGUGGUUGAAGAGCAAGGCUCUUGUACAAGAGGUCAGAGGUUCGAACCUUGCCUCUCGUUUAUUUUUAUUAUGUUCGCUUAUGACAUAAUAAGUAUAACAUUUGUACACAUUAUAUUAAGCACAGCUUGUGCUCCAGUGGCUGGGGACAAAAGUUUUGUGCAGCAGGUUGAGGUUUCGAACCUUGCCUUCCCCGUUAUUUUAUUUAUGUCGCUUAUGACAUAAUAAAUAUAACACGUGGGCAUAUAUUAAUGAAGGCAGCUCUUGCUUCAGUGGUUGGGAGCAAAACCUUCGUGUUCGAGGUCGGGAGUUCGAACCUUACCUCUUACAAAUAUUUUUGGAUCUCGUAUAUGCUUGAUAUACGGACGUAUAUACGGUAUGUACGGUAUACAUACGUAUAUAUGGUCUGUACAGUAUGCAUACGUAUAUACAGUUGUACGAUAUGCAUACGUAUAUACGGUCUGUACGGUAUGCAUACAUAUAUACGGUAUACCUACGGUAUGUACAAUUUCAUACCGUAGCCGAGCUGGAAGUCGGUGGGCCGAUUGGUAGGCCCAAAUAGUAAGCCCAAUUGUUCGGCCCGAAUGGUAGGCCCAAAUGUUAAGCCCAAUUGUUCGGCCCGAAUGGUAGGCCCAAAUGUUAAACCCAAAUUGGUUCGGGCCGGUUCGAAAUGUGAAUGGUUCGGUUCCUUCGGCCCAAUUGGCCAGCCCUAAUGCUUAGCCCAAGGAUUGAGCAAGCCCACGUCAUCAUCACUGGGUGACAUAUUUUAUUGGUGUACUUUUGGGGAUGAUUUGUUUUGAGUGAUGCAUCUCUAUUGUUGUGUAGAAUAGUGCAUGCUUAAGUUUUACUAUAGAGAUUUACCGUGAUGCUAAUGGAGUAGCGAAACGCUUUGUGGGAGUCUUUACUGUGCUUGUAUGCCAGUACAGGGUGAUGAUCUAUGUGAGGAUCUAUGAGAUAAUCUCUGUGAAGAUCUAAGUGAUGAUCUCUGUGAUGAUCCACGUGAUGAUUUUGUGUAAUUGAUGUGGAGUGAUGUUGAGCAGUUGUUUUGUGAAUUUACAUCGUGACGAAAGGAUUUAGUGGCCAUAGGAAUGUAUUUUUAUACAAAGGGCUGUGGCUUUGUAGAUUACUACAACUUUGGGAUUGAUAGAGAUUCGAUGAUUAGGUCAACCUUAAUUGAGAGGAAUUGACUUACGCUUAAAUUUCGGGACGAAAUUUCUUUAAGGAGGGUAGAUUGUAAUACCCCGAAAAAAAUCCAAAUUAAAUUCCGUGGAUUUUUAGAAGUGAUUUCACGAUAGUGGGAGCGAGUACGAGGCUCGGAGAAGUUGUGAAAUUAGUUCGAACGAUUAAUUUUCGAAAAAACGAACGUUAUUUAGGGGCUCACAUGCAGCAGUUCAAGUUCCUUGAGGCUCUUGACAUGGAGAAUUCAGACCAACAAGUGGUCAAAUGUAAAAACCAAUUCGUGGCUAAUUCUGAAGACACCAUGUUCUAUGACAUGGUAGUUGGCGACAAAGCCAAUCUAUGCUCAUCUUCAUCUCCAAAAUUACAAUUGAAGAUCCUGCUUCGCCAACUAACAAAGAUAUUUGGGGGGCAAGAUUACUCCUCCUAUGAGCCAAAUUUCUUCCAAGUUUUUGACGCGAAGUAUUUUUGUUCUUUUCCUACAAGCUCUCACAGGAGGAAUUUUCAUGCUAUAAAUUUUGAUACAUCGGAACUUGGAGUGAAGCAUAGAUGGUCUCCCUCGUGACUUUCUAGAGGUUAGCCAAACGUGUUGCUGCUAGCUUCUUUAUUUGCUUCUAAUUUUUUUUGUCAAUUUUCAGUUUGCACAUUUCUUUUCGUUGUUUAAAAAAAAAAAAAAUAGAAAAGAGAAACUCAAAAAAGAGUUUUUUGUUAUGGGCAUACUCGGAUGCAAAAAUAGUGUUCUGGCCUAGCAGUGGCUUGAACCUAAUUUCUAAGAUAUUUGGAGGCUAUUUGACUCUGAUGUCGAGUUGAGGCCCAUGCCGUCGUGCGCAUGCGAAGUGUGCAAUACGCCUAAAGUUUGGCGGCGGCAAAAUAAAAAAGCUUCCCUGUCUUUGAUGGCGAAGAAGCUCCUUUUGGAAGCCUCUUCUGUUUGUUCGCAAAGCAGCCCAGAGGCCCAUAGGCACAUCCACCUCAAAGAAGUUGAGCGAAACAUCUUGGAGCACAGCGAAAUUCACCUGCUAAGCUACGCGAAAGAUCCCUCACAUUGCUGGCGAAUCAAGGACAGGCAGCGAACCGCUGGGCUCGCAUCCGGAAUUCUACCAUAAGACUUGUUUAGAGUUUUAUGUUUUGUAAGGGCCAAGUCCAGUGGCCUCAAAGUGAAACUAGGAACAAUCUUCUGUCAAUCACAGUGGCAUUGAAGGUUCAUCAGAUUGAUGCGAGCAGUUGCAUGAAGUCUGCGAAUGGAGUACAGACAAGAGGUGAACUCCCAGCGAAAUGAGCUCGCAAAAGGUAUCAAGAACUUAAUUUUUCUCCACUAUACCUUGAUUUGUGGCUGAGAUGUUUUUGGAGACUAAUUUAUCAGCUGGGUCAGCGAGUGGCUCUAAUUGAUAAUUAAUUAAUCAUCAUUCCAUUUAUCUGAGGCGGUGGAGAGGUGGUAUAUUCCGACAAUGUAUAAAAAACAUGGAGCCAACAUAGUGGCUUGGUGACUUUUAAUUAAGCAUAAUUAAAAACCUGUUCAAGUAAAUCCAGAAUAUAUGUCUGGCCCAAACUCUAGGUUACUUGACCUAGUUGUAAUAGGGUUAUGAAUUAGAGAUAUUCUCGGAGAUAUUCAUAGAUAUCCGAUUAAUUGUACGAUUAUCUUUCUUUGUACAACUCUAAUUUUAUGUCUUGUAAUCCUCUAUAUAAAGAGGCCCCUAUUAUCAAUGAAAGUACGACUCAAUUCUCUCCCAAUUCAGUUUUCCUUAAACACGUUAUCAGCACAAAGCCCUAACCCUAAAACAAAUAGCUAAAACCCUAAAUCCGAAUACAAAACCUUGAAACCUUUUCUACCUCCGCUACAUAACUUGAAGCCCUCGACCCCAGGAAUCCAGAACCGGCGGCAGAACCGGCCGGAAAAGCACGGAACCGACCCCGAGAAGAGAAAAAGGAUUCAUGCUCGGUUCACCACCUUUCAGACCGCCAUCUACCACCAAAUUUGACCUGAAGUAGCACCUAGAUUCCAUAAAUCUAGAACUGAAAACAGAAGCCCAAGAACCGGGAGGAAAGACACUGAACCAGCCGUCGGAAGCCCUUGAAUCGGUCAGGUUAGCCUUGUUCCAGCCCCGCGCGCAGCCCCCGUGCAGCCCUCGCUCACCCUCUGCACAUCCUGCCGGCAAAUCUCGCUAGCCCUUGAUAACAGCCCGCAAGCACUCUCCUGCUAGCCUCGCUUGCUGUCGAUCGACAGCUCGUGCGCGUGCUUCGCAACAGACCUCGAGCUACCCCCGCACACGCCUCGACAGGCGUCUGCCGACAGCCGCCGCAAGCACCUCGCAGGCCCCUGCCGGCAUCUGCUGAUAGCCCCCGCACAAGCCUUGCAAGCGCUGCGCAGCAGCUCCGGCCAGCGACCACCGCCGGCCACCUCCGGCGACCAAAUUCAGACGACUUUUUCGGCAGUUUUCAGGCAACUUUCCGGCGACUCUUCCGAAAAUUUUUUGACACUUUUUGAGGAUGAGUAAUCUGAACAAAUUGGACUUCGCUCCAUUGGGAACAACUGGCUCUGGAUAUCACAAGUGGGUUCGUGAUAUUCGCCAGCAUCUCAAGGCCGAUGGAAUCCUGGAUAUGAUUCUCGAGCCUAGUCAGGACGUGCUAACUGUUGAGCAAGCUCAAGAUUUGGAAGCAAAUAGAGUAGCCUUAGAGGCAAAUAAGGCGAAAACCAUCAUCCUAAUGACUCGUCAUAUGGAUGAUUCGCUCCAGUACGAGUGUAUGAAUGAAAAAGAUCCUAAAAGGCUGUGGGUCUCACUCGAAGAAAGAUUUGGCAACGUCCGUGACUCCCUGCUUCCUGACCUAGAAGUGAGAUGGCAUAGCCUUCACUUCUGUGAUUUCAAGUCAGUUCUUGACUACAACUCGGAAGCACUUCGCAUUAAAUCCUUAAUGGAAUUCUGUGGUAAAGAGAUCACAGAUGCGAUGUUGAUUGAGAAGACUCUCUCUACCUUCCCCGUCUCUACAUUGAUGGUUGCUAAGAACUAUUGAAUCGAUGUUACUGCAGGAUGGAUCACAAGGUUUCAUGAGCUCAUUGGAGCUAUGAAUGUCGCUGAAAAGCAUGACAACAUCCUUGUGAAGAACUAUAAUUCGAGAUCCGAGGAAACAAAGCAUAUUCUGGAAUCCAAUUAUAGUCGCGCCCCUAAGAGAGGGCGCCAAGAGCGAAACCCUAAUCUUAGGGAUACUUCUGGACGUUUUGGUCCAUAUAAUCGCUCUACUUGGGAAGGUAACCGCCAAAAUAGGCGAACACGGAACCGAAGAGGUCAACAUGGAAAGAGAGAGAGAGAGGCAACGCCUUUGACUGUGUUGGUGGCGCUACCAACACUAAGAGCCAUCUAAAUGAUGCUUUCAAAGCGCCCCAGUCAAUGGAGUCUGAGCAAAGAAAUGUAUGUUCUCGAUGUGGAGUAUCCAGUCAUUGGGCACACAUUUUUGUAGAGCUCGUGAAGAAAUUGUCAUCGCCUACAAAGCAUAUUGUGAAGCAAGAGAAGCUCACUAUGUGGAACAAGAAUAUCAAGAAGAUGAUCUAGAAUGAAGGGUUGAAGUGUACAAAUCUGGCUGGAAUCAAUAGAUCGCCAAUUCUGUUUAAGUCUUUAUUUUUCUAAGAGAUGUAAUAGGCAAUUGCCAUAUACUUUGUAGUAAAUAUCAUUGGUUUACUUUUUCUUCA